UAAACAACGUUGAGAAGGACCAGUAAAGAAACGUGUGUUUUUUUAGAGAGGGAGUUGUACGGUGAAAGACUCCUAAAGACCACUUCUUGAACCUACCUUUGAGUUCGAUCUCGAAAGAUAUUCGCGGCGACAGUCGUUAACAUGUAUGAGUGUGAAGCUUUGCUUCAAAUGAGGGUGGUACCGCCAUGGAGACAUGGUCCCUCGU
This 205-nucleotide non-coding RNA is filed under the name Paenisporosarcina sp. RNAcentral describes it as "T-box sequence". It matches the Rfam family "T-box leader". Rfam says of the family: Uncharged tRNA acts as the effector for transcription antitermination of genes in the T-box leader family. T-boxes are found upstream of many aminoacyl-tRNA synthetase genes and some amino acid biosynthetic genes usually in Gram-positive bacteria. Lineage: Bacteria; Bacillati; Bacillota; Bacilli; Caryophanales; Caryophanaceae. The record is from RNAcentral.